RNAcentral lists this long non-coding RNA (3001 nucleotides) under Sus scrofa (pig). RNAcentral describes it as "lncRNA (ENSSSCG00000044048.1)". Lineage: Eukaryota; Metazoa; Chordata; Mammalia; Artiodactyla; Suidae. The record is from RNAcentral.
GUUCCCAGGCUAGGGGUCAAAUUAGAGCUACAGCUGCCGGCCUCCACCACAGCCACAGCAAUGCGGGAUCCAAGCUGCAACUGUGGCCUACACCACAGCUCACAGCAAUGCCAGAUCCUUAAUCCACUGAGCGAGGCCAGGGAUCGAACCUGCAACCUUAUGGUUCCUUGUCAGAUUCAUUUCCGCUGUGCCACGAUGGAAACUCCUCCCUUUUUAGGAUGUUUCAGAAUUUCCCCAAAUUUCUACAAAGUGUAUCUGUAACUUGAAUAAUCAGAAAAAAAAUUUUUUUCGGAACAAAUAACCAUUGAAAAUAGAUAGUAAACCUUUCUUGCUCUGAACCCAAAGGACUCAGCUAUUAUGCUAUUAGCAUCUUUUUCCUCCCACACAAGGUUCACUCUAUGUAAAGGUAAAAAAAAAAAAAUCACCAUAAGACAUACCAAAGGUGACCAUAUAGAUGGAAACUGGAGCACUUCUGAACUUUCGUGGUAAAAAACGUAGUGGUUAAAGACAGUCGCCUUAGACCUGGAAGCACAGGUUUCUUUCCAGACACGGCCUUGGCUGUUUGUCCUUCUGUGAUUUUCCAGGGCUGGUGCAAUGGAGAUCAAGGCCACAUCAGCCUGGACAGCAGAGCUUUGGCUACAGGCAGUGCUGACAGCUGCCUGCAUCGUGACUUUUGUGGAAACCAGGAAAUUACAAGACACCCUUGAGUGAAGCCCGCUGUGGGAGUGACGGUGUGUCUCUCCAGGUCUAGAAGGAGAAUGAGGGCAUUUGUGUUCCUGUCCAGACAGAAGGAGCUGUGGACUUGGAUGAGUCCACAGUUUGCAAGGGCGCCAAUGAUGCUCAUUUCCCCAAGUCGGGUCUGUGAUUCUCAAACUUUAGUUGAGUGUACCAGCCAUCUCUCAGGGCUUGUUGAAAUGUGCACUGGGAGGUUCCUGUUGUGGCGCAGUGGAAACGAAACUGGCUAGUAUCCAUGAGGAUGCGGGUUUGAUCCCUGGCCUUGCUCAGUAGGUUAAGGAUCCAGCGUUGCCAUGAGCUGUGGUGUAGGUCAAAGAUGUGGCUCGGAUCUGUCUGGCAUUGCUGUGGCUGUGGUGUAGGCCAGUGGCUACCACUCCAAUUCGAUCCCUAGCCUGGGAACUCCCAUAUGCUGCAGUUGCGGCCCUAAAAAGCUUAAAAAAAAAAAAAAAGUGCAUUGCCAGCUCUGUGCCAGGAAGUGCUGGCUCAGGAGUUCAGGGUUGGGCCUUUGAAUCUCAAUAUUACUGUGAGCCUCCCAGAUGAUGCUUUGGGAAUUUCUCUGUUUCAUUCUUGCAACAUAAGGUAUGCUUCUAGAAUCAGAUUCAGAUCCCUCACACAUCGCUGUAGGCCUGGUGUGAAAUAAGCAUGGCACUAGUUAAUUUCCCAUGUUUGCUUCUGUAAGAUCCUCCUAAAGCUUCGGGGGUCAGCCUUCCCACCUCCACUUUACCCAUGGGAAAACUGGAGCUCAGAGUGUUGGAGUGAUUUAUCAGCAGUCACACAGCCAUAAGCGGUAGAGUUAAGAGUUAGAGCCAAGAAAGGGGGAUUGGACAACCCAGAGGCUCUCAUGUCCCCCCUCCCCUGGUCCCCACGGGGAGAAUAUCUCUAAGAUCCCCUAAUUUGUGAGUCUAACGAGCCAAGGUAUUGAUAACUGGGUCACCUUUCUUUACCAUCCUUCCAGCAUCCUGGCCACAGUCCCACAGAGGUAGCCCUCCCCCCCCUUUCAUUUUUUUUUGCUUUUUAGGGCUGCAUCCGUGGCAUAUGGAGGUUCCCAGGGUGUAGCCCUAAAAAGCAAAAACAAAGAACAACAACAAAAAAAAUAAAUAAAUAAAAGAGGAGAUUAGGACACAAGCGCAAUUAGAGGGAAGACCACGUGAGCACACAGGGAGAAGGCAGCCGUCUACAUGCCAAGGAGCGAUGCCUCCGAGGAAACCAACCCUGCUGACACCUUGAUCUGACUUUUGCCUCCAGAACUGUGUGAAAAUAAGUUUCUGUGUUUAACCCACUCAGCUUGUAAUACUUUGUUUCGAUACCCCAAGAGAUUAAUACGGAUGACCUGGUUGUACAAGUUCCACCUGAUUCAAUGUAGGCAGCCCCAGGUGGGCACAGGUGAGCUCCCGAGGCCCACUGGCAACACUGCAUCGGGACAACCUGGAGGUCACAACAAAGAGCUUGCUUGCACUUCUGUCUUUAGCAAGUCUGGGGACAUGUUGGGCUGCACAGGGACAGAUUUUAUCAGUGUCCCUAUGGUUUGUAGGAGGGGCAUGCAGAAAGGUGAGGGGGCCGUCAUCUUACUCCUGUGGCUUAAAACACCUCAUCUUCUUACUGUCUACACACCCAACAAAACACCAUUUCGUGAGCCCACUCCAGGCAAUUGUUGAGGAUUCUGGCUGCGUGGGAAAGAAUGUCAGGAUUGAUCAGCCGUAUCUGCUCUGGGCAAGUGGGGGAGGCAUGACAGAUACGUCCAGUCGAUUUGCGGUCUUCUAGAACACAGGGAGCUCCACCUGCACCAAGGAGAAGACAGUGUCUCCAGAGAGAGCAGGAUGUGACAGAGAUGGCCAUACACUUCCAGCACAUUUGGCUAUCAAUGCCACUGUUGCAUGACAAAUAGAUGUCAUCACACCUGCCACCUCUGGUCAACUUGUCACGGCCACCUGAGCAUAGAAAUCCAUGUCCCUAUUCAUACCUAUGGAAAGAACAUCACAUUGCAAUCCCCAACCUCGGCCACAAGCCUAGAUUGCAGGAGUGGUGGCAGGAUCGCCUGCUUCUCUGACCCAGCUCAAUCUGUCGGGGAAACUCAAGUUCCUUUCUGUCUCGCCACCCCAAGGACAAGGAUGAAAUGCCAUUCUGGAGUCUGUGGGUUUCUAUGGGCCUAGGCACUAGGCCUCAGACCUUUCAGAGGAAGGGUCGGAACACCCCAGGGCCUGGCCUCCCCACCUGGGGUAUGCCAACCACGUAGGGUACAAGAGUGUAGCCCAGAGUAGAAGGGCAA